Molecule: ribosomal RNA, 111 nt
Filed under: Chinchilla lanigera (long-tailed chinchilla)
Lineage: Eukaryota; Metazoa; Chordata; Mammalia; Rodentia; Chinchillidae
Source: RNAcentral
GUCUACGGCCAUACCACCCUGAACGCGCCCGAUCUCGUCUGAUCUCGGAAGCUAAGCAGGGUCGGGCCUGGUUAGUACUUGGAUGGGAGAAAUAUUUUGGGGCUUUAGGGA